This 463-nucleotide ribosomal RNA is filed under the name uncultured bacterium. RNAcentral's name for it is "bacterial SSU rRNA". It matches the Rfam family "Bacterial small subunit ribosomal RNA", at positions 331 to 792 of the family's 1533-position model. The record is from RNAcentral.
CCAGACUCCUACGGGAGGCAGCAGUGAGGAAUAUUGGUCAAUGGGAGAGAUCCUGAACCAGCCAAGCCGCGUGAGGGAAGACGGCCCUAUGGGUUGUAAACCUCUUUUGUCGGAGAACAAAACCCGGGACGUGUCCCGGACUGCGUGUAUCCGAAGAAAAAGCAUCGGCUAACUCCGUGCCAGCAGCCGCGGUAAUACGGAGGAUGCGAGCGUUAUCCGGAUUUAUUGGGUUUAAAGGGUGCGUAGGCGGUCCGUUAAGUCAGCGGUAAAAUUGCGGGGCUCAACCCCGUCGAGCCGUUGAAACUGGCAGACUUGAGUUGGCGAGAAGUACGCGGAAUGCGCGGUGUAGCGGUGAAAUGCAUAGAUAUCGCGCAGAACUCCGAUUGCGAAGGCAGCGUACCGGCGCCAGACUGACGCUGAGGCACGAAAGCGUGGGGAUCGAACAGGAUUAGAUACCCUGGUA